UAUAUACUCCCUCCGUCCGGAAAUACUUGUCCUAAAAAUGAAUUUAAUGAAUGUAUCUAUAACUAAAAUAAGUCUAGAUACAUUCAUCUCUAGGACAAGUAUUUUCGGACGGAGGGAGUAGCUC
Non-coding RNA from Hordeum vulgare subsp. vulgare (domesticated barley), 124 nucleotides. The record is from Rfam. NCBI's taxonomy places the organism in Eukaryota, Viridiplantae, Streptophyta, Magnoliopsida, Poales, Poaceae.